UACGAAGGGGGCUAGCGUUGCUCGGAAUUACUGGGCGUAAAGGGCGCGUAGGCGGACAGUUUAGUCAGAGGUGAAAGCCCAGGGCUCAACCUUGGAAUUGCCUUUGAUACUGGCUGUCUUGAGUUCGGGAGAGGUGAGUGGAAUGCCGAGUGUAGAGGUGAAAUUCGUAGAUAUUAGGAAGAACACCAGUGGCGAAGGCGGCUCACUGGCCCGGUACUGACGCUGAGGCGCGAAAGCGUGGGGAGCAAACAGG
Molecule: ribosomal RNA, 253 nt
Filed under: uncultured bacterium
Lineage: Bacteria
Description: partial 16S ribosomal RNA
Rfam family: Bacterial small subunit ribosomal RNA
Source: RNAcentral